CUAACAUAUAAGACUGGGAUAACUUCGGGAAACCGGAGCUAAUACCGGAUAAUAUUUUGAACCGCAUGGUUCAAAAGUGAAAGACGGUCUUGCUGUCACUUAUAGAUGGAUCCGCGCUGCAUUAGCUAGUUGGUAAGGUAACGGCUUACCAAGGCAACGAUGCAUAGCCGACCUGAGAGGAUGAUCGGCCACACUGGAACUGAGACACGGUCCAG
This 215-nucleotide ribosomal RNA is filed under the name uncultured Staphylococcus sp. RNAcentral's name for it is "partial 16S ribosomal RNA". It matches the Rfam family "Bacterial small subunit ribosomal RNA", at positions 125 to 334 of the family's 1533-position model. The record is from RNAcentral. Lineage: Bacteria; Bacillati; Bacillota; Bacilli; Caryophanales; Staphylococcaceae.